UACGAAGGGUGCAAGCGUUACUCGGAAUUACUGGGCGUAAAGCGUGCGUAGGUGGUUUGUUAAGUCUGUUGUGAAAGCCCCGGGCUCAACCUGGGAAUGGCAAUGGAUACUGGCAGGCUAGAGUGCGGUAGAGGGUAGUGGAAUUCCCGGUGUAGCGGUGAAAUGCGUAGAGAUCGGGAGGAACACCAGUGGCGAAGGCGGCUCACUGGCCCGGAACUGACGCUGAGGCACGAAAGCGUGGGGAGCAAACAGGG
This 254-nucleotide ribosomal RNA is filed under the name uncultured bacterium. RNAcentral describes it as "partial 16S ribosomal RNA". It matches the Rfam family "Bacterial small subunit ribosomal RNA", at positions 524 to 777 of the family's 1533-position model. The record is from RNAcentral.